GCAGCUAACGCACUAAGUAGACCGCCUGGGGAGUACGGCCGCAGGGUUAAAACUCAAAUGAAUUGACGGGGGCCCGCACAAGCGGUGGAGCAUGUGGUUUAAUUCGACGCAACGCGAAGAACCUUACCUGGCCUUGACAUGCAGAGAACUUUCCAGAGAUGGAUUGGUGCCUUCGGGAACUCUGACACAGGUGCUGCAUGGCCGUCGUCAGCUCGUGUCGUGAGAUGUUGGGUUAAGUCCCGUAACGAGCGCAACCCCUAUCCCUAGUUGCUAGCAGUUCGGCUGAGAACUCUAGGGAGACUGCCGGUGACAAACCGGAGGAAGGUGGGGAUGACGUCAGGUCAUCAUGGCCCUUACGGCCAGGGCUACACACGUGCUACAAUGGUGCGCACAGAGGGCUGCAAACCCGCGAGGGGGAGCCAAUCUCACAAAACGCAUCGUAGUCCGGAUCGCAGUCUGCAACUCGACUGCGUGAAGUCGGAAUCGCUAGUAAUCGUGAAUCAGAAUGUCACGGUGAAUACGUUCCCGGGCCUUGUACACACCGCCCGUCACACCAUGGGAGUGGAUUGCACCAGAAGUGGUUAGUCUAACCUUC
RNAcentral lists this ribosomal RNA (595 nucleotides) under uncultured bacterium. Its description in RNAcentral is "bacterial SSU rRNA". It matches the Rfam family "Bacterial small subunit ribosomal RNA", at positions 848 to 1443 of the family's 1533-position model. The record is from RNAcentral.